RNAcentral lists this unclassified non-coding RNA (349 nucleotides) under soil metagenome. RNAcentral's name for it is "partial contains 5.8S ribosomal RNA, internal transcribed spacer 2, and large subunit ribosomal RNA". The stretch from base 1 to 119 matches the Rfam family "5.8S ribosomal RNA", at positions 35 to 154 of the family's 154-position model. The record is from RNAcentral.
GAUGAAGACGCAGCGAAAUGCGAUAAGUAAUGUGAAUUGCAGAAUUCAGUGAAUCAUCGAAUCUUUGAACGCACAUUGCGCCCGCCAGUAUUCUGGCGGGCAUGCCUGUUCGAGCGUCAUUUCAACCCUCAAGCCCAGCUUGGUGUUGGGGAUCGGCACAGGCGCCCUCGGGCGCCCGCCGUCCCCUAAAUCUAGUGGCGGUCCCGCUGCAGCCUCCUCUGCGUAGUAGUUUUCUCCUCGCAAGGGCAGCUCGGUGGCGACCUCGCCGUAAAACCCCCAACUUCUGAAAGGUUGACCUCGAAUCAGGUAGGAAUACCCGCUGAACUUAAGCAUAUCAAUAAGCGGAGGA